Molecule: long non-coding RNA, 360 nt
Filed under: Gallus gallus (chicken)
Lineage: Eukaryota; Metazoa; Chordata; Aves; Galliformes; Phasianidae
Source: RNAcentral
UGCCAUGUUCCAACUCCUUCCAUUUCCAGUCCCUCGCUGUGCCCGGACCCACACCUAAGGAAGCGAGUGCUGUUCCUUGGAAGUUGUCCCAAUGGUCUCCAUUUUAUUGGUAGAUUCUCCUCGGCUCCCGCAGAACGACACCACCCUCCGUCAUCGCUUUUUCAAAUUCCUGGAUCUUGUCACAACGAUGUUCCCAAGGAAUAACAGCUUUGAAGUUCACAAAGUUGAUUCCCGCUUCCAAACAGCGCUGUGCCAUAACACGGCCGAGGUUUCUGCAGGCUGUAACGCCCGUAGGACUGUACAGGUGCUUCUUUAUAGCCCACUCUCGGGUAGAGGCAGAUAACACAACGUUGCCAUUAC